CAGAACUCUGCUGCAGACAGCACAGGUUUCCAAAAUACAACUCAGCAGUCACAUAUUGCCACGAUACAGAGGUUAGAACUGCCGAAAUCCGUCUCCGUGUCUACAUGUAUGGCACCACUGUCCAAGCGUCUGCGCGUUCCUAUGGCACACGGGCCUUAGUGCCAACUGCUGCUGCAGCUACACUGAAGAGUCAAGACACACAGCACGUCAUCACCGCGUCAUCGUUGAACUACUGCCUAUGACGCGGUAGGCUUUUGUAUGAAAAGCCGUUACCUAUAGAGUUUGGCGCAGCGUAGCAUAACUAUCGCAUGUAACUCAAUACGCAUGCAACAAUUUAAUGUUUAUCGAAAUAUGAAUAACAGCCGUUAACUGUCAAGAUUGUGUAAAACUGACACCAAAUUGUUUGUACGGCGACGACGCCACCCACUUCAAGCGCCUAGUUAUGUGGACACUUAACGUCUGGAGUAGAUGCUGAGUCUGGGCAGGUUUAAGAAAAGGUUAUCCCAUGGAAACAGCGGAAUUAUACGGUUUUAAACGAUUGUAUGUUUUACUCUCAACUUGGACAUACGCGACCAACGUGUCUUUGUUCUUUUCGCUACGCAGAUAACAAAAUACUCGUCGCUAGUUGGUGAUCCAAUUUAAAUCGGUGACAGGUUGCACGUCACCGCAUCCGCGAAUCGGUGACAUUAGCAAAAUUGCUGACGGACCAUUCGCGCGGCCCUCUUUAUUUCGAUAGUGUUUUCGCGUUCUUUGCGAUUUAAUCAAAGUCACCCAUUCAGCAAGAGCCAGUUAGAGCAUGCUCGGCUUUAGACUUCUUGGCACUCACAGCCGUGUUAUAAACGGAUAGACUAGCAAACACCUCAAGUUAUCACCUUCCAUCGAUCAAACUGUGGUGACCCCAAGAAGUCCCAAAGUUUUGGCACAUUCUACCUUGAGGUCUAUGGACUUAUUAGUACAGCAGCCUAUCUACUGACCAACACUGUAGGAAUAAAACAAACUUAACUGCUUAUUAUCCUAUACGAUGUCGUGUGCUUUGUUGAUAAGUCUUCUCGCCGUGUCUAUCGUAUUCUGAAAAUCCAAAAGGUUUGGGCUUGCGGUUCAAUAUUUCUGUAAUCAGUAGUGGGGGCUUCCAGUACAUGUUAUAUGACUGGAGACGUCGAAUAGAACAAAAGCUCUGCUAUAGGGCUCACCAUUCCCCUAACACGGUGUCUCGGAGUCGACAUUUGUGUAGCCAGCUACGAACAGCAGCGUCUGUAUCGAAAACACACUUGUUCUCUGCUUCACCUAUAUUGACGGCGUAUAGAGAAGCGUUGUGUCCGGUGGCGCCUCUCCAUGCGCCACACUGGCCGCAGGCAGUGAGGUUGAUCAACUUUGAGUGUCGAAACAAGGUCGAAGAGCGAUAGGGUUCAAACCUGCCUCUGUCGAAACUGCAGCAACCAUUAAACGCAACUGUAUCGUCCCGUUCAUCAGACCCUUCCCUAAAUCCCUCCUCAAUAAGAUUGCCGCGACUUUCUCCACCGGCGGGACGGUUCCACUAGAUCCAUCACUCUGACAUUCCUAGCCAAGACUAAGCCCAUCAAAAUCAUAUUCAAGUGGCUUGAAUGCUAUUGAUCGGGGCUGCAGAUCGCUCACCCCACAAAAGGGCACUUCUCUGAAAUUUCGGUCCGACCAAACAAUUGGCGACCAAAACGUCCUCGACGUCAGAGCACCCUGCCGCUCUAUAUAGCACGCAUUGGAGCAUCCUCUUUCGACGUAUAGCUCUAGCUCAAGAAUUUCGAUAUCACCUAGGCAUCAGUGAACGUAUAACGAGAGAUGAUGUGCGGAGGUGCAGAUCUAUGGUUGCCAGCCAAGUAUCUCCUCUAUUUCCGAACUAACGCAGCAGCCCGAGUAUUGCAGUAGGUCAGGGUUGACUGAAAUAGAGCUAUAUAUACAUAUAUAUGGAAAGUGAUGCAAUAUUAUCUUGCCCAAAAUAGGGACGCAUUAAACCUUCUACAGCAUGAUCUAUCAAAAAUAGAUGAAAUAAUGUCUCGAGAGAGAGGUGAUCUAGAUAAAAAAAUGUUAGGUGGCAUAAAAUAACAAAUAAAAGACGAUCACUGUAUUGAA
Long non-coding RNA from Schistocerca gregaria, 2103 nucleotides. RefSeq lists it as uncharacterized. NCBI's taxonomy places the organism in Eukaryota, Metazoa, Arthropoda, Insecta, Orthoptera, Acrididae. The transcript is spliced from 4 exons. The record is from RefSeq and is a predicted model, not a curated record.